GCGGGGAUGAGGUGUGGGUAGGGGUGAAAUGCCAAUCGAACACGGAGAUAGCUGGUUCUCUCCGAAAUAGCUUUAGGGCUAGCCUCAAAGGAUGAUGGUUGGAGGUAGAGCACUGAUUGGACUAGGGGCCCUCAUCGGGUUACCGAAUUCAGUCAAACUCCGAAUGCCAAUCAAUCUACUUUGGGAGUCAGACCAUGGGUGAUAAGGUUCAUGGUCGAAAGGGAAACAGCCCAGACCGCCAGCUAAGGUCCCAAAGUGUGUGUUAAGUGGAAAAGGAUGUGGCGUUGCUUAGACAACCAGGAUGUUGGCUUAGAAGCAGCCAUCAUUGAAAGAGUGC
RNAcentral lists this ribosomal RNA (337 nucleotides) under Terribacillus saccharophilus. RNAcentral describes it as "bacterial LSU rRNA". It matches the Rfam family "Bacterial large subunit ribosomal RNA", at positions 798 to 1133 of the family's 2925-position model. The record is from RNAcentral. Lineage: Bacteria; Bacillati; Bacillota; Bacilli; Caryophanales; Bacillaceae.